AAGGCAUAGACAGCUAGGAGGUUGGCUUAGAAGCAGCCAUCCUUUAAAGAAAGCGUAAUAGCUCACUAGUCGAGUCGUCCUGCGCGGAAGAUGUAACGGGGCUAAGCACGUAACCGAAGCUUCGGGUGCAUAUUUAUAUGCACGGUAGGAGAGCGUUCUGUAAGCCUGCGAAGGUGUCUUGUGAAGGAUGCUGGAGGUAUCAGAAGUGCGAAUGCUGACAUGAGUAGCGAUAAAGGGUGUGAAAAGCACCCUCGCCGAAAGCCCAAGGUUUCCUGCACAACGUUCAUCGGUGCAGGGUGAGUCGGCCCCUAAGGCGAGGCAGAAAUGCGUAGUCGAUGGGAAACAGGUUAAUAUUCCUGUACCUCAAUUUAAUGCGAUGUGGGGACGGAGAAGGUUAAGUCAGCCGGGUGUUGGAUGUCCCGGUUCAAGCGUGUAGACAGAUUCUUUAGGCAAAUCCGGAGAGUCAAUGUCAAGGCGUGAUAACGAGUGAGCUUGCUCAUGAAGUGACUGAUACCAUGCUUCCAAGAAAAGCCACUAAGCUUCAGUUAAGUUGAGACCGUACCGCAAACCGACACAGGUGGGCAGGAUGAGAAUUCUAAGGCGCUUGAGAGAACCCAGGAGAAGGAACUCGGCAAACUAGCACCGUAACUUCGGGAGAAGGUGCGCCCCGGUAGGUUGUAGCAAUUUACUUGCGAAGGCCGAUGGGGUUGCAGUGAAAAGGUGGCUGCGACUGUUUAAUAAAAACACAGCACUGUGCAAACACGAAAGUGGACGUAUACGGUGUGACGCCUGCCCGGUGCCGGAAGGUUAAAUGAUGGGGUGCAAGCUCUUGAUUGAAGCCCCGGUAAACGGCGGCCGUAACUAUAACGGUCCUAAGGUAGCGAAAUUCCUUGUCGGGUAAGUUCCGACCCGCACGAAUGGCGUAACGAUGGCCACACUGUCUCCUCUUGGGACUCAGCGAAGUUGAAAUGUUUGUGAAGAUGCAAUCUACCCGCGGCUAGACGGAAAGACCCCAUGAACCUUUACUGUAGCUUUACAUUGGACUUUGACAAGAUCUGUGUAGGAUAGGUGGGAGGCAUUGAAGCGUGGUCGCUAGAUCAUGUGGAGCCAACCUUGAAAUACCACCCUGAUGUUGUUGAGGUUCUAACCUAGACCCCGAAACGGGGUUGGGGACCGUGUAUGGUGGGCAGUUUGACUGGGGCGGUCUCCUCCCAAAGAGUAACGGAGGAGUGCGAAGGUAACCUAGGUACGGUCGGAAAUCGUACUGAUAGUGCAAUGGCAUAAGGUUGCUUGACUGCGAGACGGACAGGUCGAGCAGGUGCGAAAGCAGGUCAUAGUGAUCCGGUGGUUCUGUAUGGAAGGGCCAUCGCUCAACGGAUAAAAGGUACUCUGGGGAUAACAGGCUGAUACCGCCCAAGAGUUCAUAUCGACGGCGGUGUUUGGCACCUCGAUGUCGGCUCAUCUCAUCCUGGGGCUGUAGCCGGUCCCAAGGGUAUGGCUGUUCGCCAUUUAAAGAGGUACGUGAGCUGGGUUUAAAACGUCGUGAGACAGUUUGGUCCCUAUCUGCCGUGGGCGUUGGAGAUUUGACGGGGGCUGCUCCUAGUACGAGAGGACCGGAGUGGACGUACCGCUGGUGUACCUGUUGUUUCGCCAGAAGCAUCGCAGGGUAGCUAUGUACGGAAGAGAUAACCGCUGAAAGCAUCUAAGCGGGAAACUUGCCUGAAGAUAAGAUCUCCCGGAGGUUUAACCUCCAUAAAGGGUCGUUGAAGACCACAACGUUGAUAGGUCAGGUGUGGAAGCGCAGUAAUGCGUUAAGCUAACUGAUACUAAUUGCCCGUUAGGCUUGAUC
This 1849-nucleotide ribosomal RNA is filed under the name marine metagenome. RNAcentral describes it as "bacterial LSU rRNA". It matches the Rfam family "Bacterial large subunit ribosomal RNA", at positions 1080 to 2925 of the family's 2925-position model. The record is from RNAcentral.